GGGGUAGCCUAUGGUUUCGACAUGUAUUACUAAAUAUGACUGCAAGUGGAAGUGACGCCUUAAGUCUAAACUUAAAAUUAAAUGACAAGAAUGAAAAUUCUUUUGCUUGGAAUGCCAAUUUGGCAUUCGCUGCUUAAUCUUAAGUAGUAUGGCAAGCUUCUAUUAAUUUUGCUUAUAGGACUAAUAGAGGUUCAUAAAUAUAAGAUAUAUUCUUUUAUUUGUUUAGGAUAAAAGAAUGAAAUUUUACUAAACUUAGAUUUUUUAUAGGUUGGUCUUGAGCCAUUAAAAAAUUGAAAUCCAAAUCAAGCUAAACUUGUAGAUGUUAUAUGAUAGGAUAUAUUGGACAGGAGUUCGAUUCUCCUCAGCUCCACCA
Molecule: transfer-messenger RNA, 373 nt
Filed under: Bacilli bacterium
Lineage: Bacteria; Bacillati; Bacillota; Bacilli
Rfam family: transfer-messenger RNA
About the family: Bacterial tmRNA, also known as 10Sa RNA or SsrA, is named for its dual tRNA and mRNA-like properties. Its role is to liberate the mRNA from a stalled ribosome.
Source: RNAcentral